AUUGAACGCUGGCGGCAGGCCUAACACAUGCAAGUCGAGCGGAUGAAGGGAGCUAUCUCCUGGAUUCAGCGGCGGACGGGUGAGUAAUGCCUAUGAAUCUGCCUGGUAGUGGGGGAUAACGUCCGGAAACGGGCGCUAAUACCGCAUACGUCCUGAGGGAGAAAGUGGGGGAUCUUCGGACCUCACGCUAUCAGAUGAGCCUAGGUCGGAUUAGCUAGUUGGUGGGGUAAAGGCCUACCAAGGCGACGAUCCGUAACUGGUCUGAGAGGAUGAUCAGUCACACUGGAAGUGAGACACGGUCCAGACGACUACGGGAGGGAGCAGUGGGGAAUAUUGGACAAUGGGCGAAAGCCUGAUCCAGCCAUGCCGCGUGUGUGAAGAAGGUCUUCGGAUUGUAAAGCACUUUAAGUUGGGGGGAAGGGCAGUAAGUUAAUACCUUGCUGUUUUGACGUUACCAGGAGAAUAAGCACCGGCUAACUUCGUG
Molecule: ribosomal RNA, 484 nt
Filed under: uncultured bacterium
Lineage: Bacteria
Description: partial 16S ribosomal RNA
Rfam family: Bacterial small subunit ribosomal RNA
Source: RNAcentral